GGGCCGGUAGUUAAACCUGGUAAAGCAUUGCUCCAGAUUAAUGCGCCCUUGGCUAGGGUGACUAGAGUGGAAGACUACUCUUGCUCUUUAGGCUCCGGGUUCAAAGCAGUGUGAAAAUCCCGGCCGGUCCA
RNAcentral lists this transfer RNA (131 nucleotides) under Candidatus Woesearchaeota archaeon. RNAcentral's name for it is "tRNA-OTHER". Lineage: Archaea; Nanobdellati; Candidatus Woesearchaeota. The record is from RNAcentral.